UUUCCGUAGGUGUACCUGCGGAAGGAUCAUUAUUGUAUAACCGAGGUGCGAGGGCUGUCGCUGACCCGAAAGGUCGUGCACGCCCGAGUGCCCUCACACACAUCCAUCUCACCCCUAUGUGCACCACCGCGUGGGUCCCCCUUUGGCUUGUUCGGAGGGGGGCUUACGUUUUCACACAAACUUUGUAUGCAGUGUAGAAUGUAUUUUUUGUUUUUGCGAUCACGCAAUCAAUACAACUUUCAACAACGGAUCUCUUGGCUCUCGUAUCGAUGAAGAACGCAGC
Molecule: unclassified non-coding RNA, 283 nt
Filed under: plant metagenome
Description: partial contains small subunit ribosomal RNA, internal transcribed spacer 1, and 5.8S ribosomal RNA
Rfam family: 5.8S ribosomal RNA (bases 235-283)
Source: RNAcentral